RNAcentral lists this transfer RNA (74 nucleotides) under Aedes aegypti (yellow fever mosquito). It matches the Rfam family "tRNA". From Rfam's summary of the family: Transfer RNA (tRNA) molecules are approximately 80 nucleotides in length. Their secondary structure includes four short double-helical elements and three loops (D, anti-codon, and T loops). Further hydrogen bonds mediate the characteristic L-shaped molecular structure. tRNAs have two regions of fundamental functional importance: the anti-codon, which is responsible for specific mRNA codon recognition, and the 3' end, to which the tRNAs corresponding amino acid is attached (by aminoacyl-tRNA synthetases). tRNAs cope with the degeneracy of the genetic code in two manners: having more than one tRNA (with a specific anti-codon) for a particular amino acid; and 'wobble' base-pairing, i.e. permitting non-standard base-pairing at the 3rd anti-codon position. Lineage: Eukaryota; Metazoa; Arthropoda; Insecta; Diptera; Culicidae. The record is from Rfam by way of RNAcentral.
UGUUCUGUAGCUUAGUUGGUUAAAGCGCCGGUCUAGCGUACACGGAGCCGUGAGUUCGAGUCUCACUAGAACGC